CGAGCACACGCAACUCGUUUGAUCAGCCCUCCCGCAGCCCUCCCGACACCGUGCAGCGUCACAGCGACGGUGGAGGCGACAUCUCUGCUUCCACAUUAUGCUGCAUGUGGGCAGGCGCUGCUCCGUGGCGGAGCAUGGCCCGCAUGGAUUGGGAUGACGGCGCAACCGCAGUGCUGCCGCGCCUUGUACGCGAACGGCGUCUACUCGCUUUCCUCCACCAGCGACGAUAGUGGGAGCUCCAGCGCCACGAGAAGAGUCAUGCGCUGCCGGGGCAGACCAAAUACACGUCGAAAAGGAGACCGUCCGUCGAUGCUCUUCUCCUUUGCCUUCCCCUUGCCCUGUUGCAACCUUCUCUGCUUCCGUCGUGAGUGCACCCGACGCUGGCGGCGGAAUGCUGCAUGCACUACGCGCUGAUGCUGUACCUGGACGCCGCUGUGCCGCAGGAGUGUGGCACGCCGAAGCACGCGCCGUUCUUCAUAACGGAGCCGGUGCGGUGGUGCUGCGGAUCGAGUGCGCGCGUGCUGGAGGGCGGUGUCGACGGGCGCGGUGGACUACGAGGUGAACGAGACUCACUUGACGGGUGCGCAGGCGCUGUCGGACUACCUGCUGGAUACGUGGUACGUGCACGACAUGCCGCGCUACGGCGCUGUGUCGUGCAUUGAUCGGAACGUGACGGCGCUGCUGAGAUUUGCGGAUGAGUGGCGCGGCACCAACGUGAACGUGCUCCUGUACAACUCCUCCUCGCACCACCAGGCUGGGCUGAACCUCGCAACGUACUACGACCUGUUCAUCAAGUCCUUCCUCGGCCGCGACAGCGCGUUCAUGCGGUACAAGGUGGAGCUGUUUAACGAGCCUGCGAGCCAGUCGCAGCUGGGCUUCAUCGUUGGCGCGCCCGGUGGGCGGCCCGCAGGUGGUCUUCCUGGACGAGCCGUCGGCCGGCAUGGACCCUGUGGCGCGACGCGGGAUGUGGACUGCGAUCCAGCGCGCCGCGGGGCACUGCUCCGUUGUGCUGACGACGCACCACCUGGAGGAGGUGGAGGCGCUCGCGGACAUUGUGGCGAUCAUGGUGCGCGGGUACGUGCGGUGCGUCGGCGACAAGGUGCACCUGAAGAACAAGUUCGGCAGCGCCUUCGAGGUGAGCGUGCGGCUCGCGUCGGCGCAGCACGCGGAGCUCUUUGCGUCGUUCAUGCAGGCGGCGUUCCCCGACGCUGUGCGGAGCGAAGGCGAGGGCCGGCGGCUCGUGUACCAGCUGCCGCGCGAUCGCGGCUUCGGCGACGUGUUCCAGACGUUCCAGGCGAACAAGGAGCAGCUGCACAUCACGGGCUACAGCGUGUCGCAGACAGCCCAUUCGGCGGAUGGAUUUUCCAGUUUUUCCUGGGGUCACGGUGUGGUAGUUGAGGGUAGCUGACGAAGGGGUGGUGAAAUUGUGUUUUUGGUCGACUUGUUGCUGUGCAUGCGUGUGCAAGCAAAGGCGUUGAAGCGGUGCGGCUGCUGUGCGUUCGCAAUUUUUUUUUGUUGGUUUGGCGCUGCUAAUCUUCGUGUAUGUUCUGUCAGCGCGCGUGCGGCACUCUUCUUGUGUCUUAACACUGCGGAAGUGUGCUGGCUCGUGGAGAAUUUUGACGGCUUUCAUGCCAACAUGCG
This 1641-nucleotide unclassified non-coding RNA is filed under the name Leishmania donovani. RNAcentral's name for it is "gene:LdHU3.11.1470(CDS-product:hypothetical_prote in-_conserved)". The record is from RNAcentral. Lineage: Eukaryota; Euglenozoa; Kinetoplastea; Trypanosomatida; Trypanosomatidae.